GAUGAACGCUGGCGGCGUGCCUAAUACAUGCAAGUCGAGCGAACAGAUGAGGCGUUCGCUUCUCUGACGUUACCGACGGACGGGUGAGUCACACGUGGCUAACCUACCUAUAAGACUGGGAUACCUUCGGGAAACCGGAGCUCACACCGGUUCAUAUAUUGAACGGCAUGGUUCAAUAGUGAACGACGGAUUUGCUGUCCCUUAUAGCUGGAUCCGCGCCGCAUUAGCUAGUUGGUAAGGUAACGGCUUACCAAGGCGACGAUGCGUAGCCGACCUGAGAGGGUGAUCAGCCACACUGGAACUGAGACACGGUCCAGACUCCUACGGGAGGCAGCAGUAGGGAAUCUUCCACAAUGGGCGAAAGCCUGAUGGAGCAACGCCGCGUGUGUGAAGAAGGUCUUCGGAUUGUAAAACUCUGUAAUUUGGGAAGAAGAACUGUGAAUGUAACUAUUCACGUCUUGACGGUACCAAAACAGAAAGCCACGGCUAACUACGUG
This 497-nucleotide ribosomal RNA is filed under the name uncultured bacterium. RNAcentral's name for it is "partial 16S ribosomal RNA". It matches the Rfam family "Bacterial small subunit ribosomal RNA", at positions 28 to 507 of the family's 1533-position model. The record is from RNAcentral.